This 229-nucleotide ribosomal RNA is filed under the name Aspergillus welwitschiae. Its description in RNAcentral is "partial 28S ribosomal RNA". It matches the Rfam family "Eukaryotic large subunit ribosomal RNA", at positions 1 to 226 of the family's 3401-position model. The record is from RNAcentral. Lineage: Eukaryota; Fungi; Ascomycota; Eurotiomycetes; Eurotiales; Aspergillaceae.
GGUUGACCUCGGAUCAGGUAGGGAUACCCGCUGAACUUAAGCAUAUCAAUAAGCGGAGGAAAAGAAACCAACCGGGAUUGCCUCAGUAACGGCGAGUGAAGCGGCAAGAGCUCAAAUUUGAAAGCUGGCUCCUUCGGGGUCCGCAUUGUAAUUUGCAGAGGAUGCUUUGGGUGCGGCCCCCGUCUAAGUGCCCUGGAACGGGCCGUCAGAGAGGGUGAGAAUCCCGUCU